This 439-nucleotide ribosomal RNA is filed under the name uncultured bacterium. RNAcentral describes it as "partial 16S ribosomal RNA". It matches the Rfam family "Bacterial small subunit ribosomal RNA", at positions 338 to 794 of the family's 1533-position model. The record is from RNAcentral.
CCUACGGGUGGCAGCAGUGGGGGAUAUUGCACAAUGGGGGGAACCCUGAUGCAGCGACGCCGCGUGGGUGAAGAAGCGCCUCGGCGCGUAAAGCCCUGUCAGCAGGGGAGAAAAUGACGGUACCUGCAGAAGAAGCCCCGGCUAACUACGUGCCAGCAGCCGCGGUAAUACGUAGGGGGCAAGCGUUAUCCGGAUUUACUGGGUGUAAAGGGGGCGCAGGCGGCGAUGCAAGCCAGGAGUGAAAGCCCGGGGCCCAACCCCGGGACUGCGCUUGGAACUGCGUGGCUGGCGGGGAGGAGGGGCAGGCGGAAUUCCUGGUGUAGCGGUGAAAUGCGUAGAUAUCAGGAGGAACACCGGUGGCGAAGGUGGCCUGCUGGACUGCAACUGACGUUGAGGCCCGAAAGCGUGGGGAGCAAACAGGAUUAGAUACCCCGGUAUC